CGCGGCCGUGCGGAGCAGCGCCGCCGCCGCGCUGCCCGCGCCAAAGCCGCCGGCUCACCGAGGGGCACAUCGCUGCGUCGGCGGCGGCCCCGCGGCAGCGGCAGGCGAGGCAAACCCUAAAUUCCCCACACUCCGCUCCGCGGCAAAAGCGCGAUGCAGCCAGGCUCCCGCAGGCACGCACACAAGAAAUAAAUUCAGUAAAAAAAUUAAAAAAAAAAAAAAAAAAAAA
Molecule: long non-coding RNA, 229 nt
Organism: Pyrgilauda ruficollis (rufous-necked snowfinch)
Lineage: Eukaryota; Metazoa; Chordata; Aves; Passeriformes; Passeridae
Exons: 2
Source: RefSeq, a predicted model, not a curated record